Molecule: ribosomal RNA, 650 nt
Filed under: uncultured beta proteobacterium
Lineage: Bacteria; Pseudomonadati; Pseudomonadota; Betaproteobacteria
Description: bacterial SSU rRNA
Rfam family: Bacterial small subunit ribosomal RNA
Source: RNAcentral
AGAGUUUGAUCAUGGCUCAGAUUGAACGCUGGCGGCAUGCCUUACACAUGCAAGUCGAACGGUAACAGGUCUUCGGAUGCUGACGAGUGGCGAACGGGUGAGUAAUACAUCGGAACGUGCCCGAUCGUGGGGGAUAACGGAGCGAAAGCUUUGCUAAUACCGCAUACGAUCUACGGAUGAAAGCAGGGGACCGCAAGGCCUUGCGCGGACGGAGCGGCCGAUGGCAGAUUAGGUAGUUGGUGGGAUAAAAGCUUACCAAGCCGACGAUCUGUAGCUGGUCUGAGAGGACGACCAGCCACACUGGGACUGAGACACGGCCCAGACUCCUACGGGAGGCAGCAGUGGGGAAUUUUGGACAAUGGGCGAAAGCCUGAUCCAGCCAUGCCGCGUGCAGGAUGAAGGCCUUCGGGUUGUAAACUGCUUUUGUACGGAACGAAAAGACUCCUUCUAAUAAAGGGGGUCCAUGACGGUACCGUAAGAAUAAGCACCGGCUAACUACGUGCCAGCAGCCGCGGUAAUACGUAGGGUGCAAGCGUUAAUCGGAAUUACUGGGCGUAAAGCGUGCGCAGGCGGUUGUAUAAGUCAGAUGUGAAAUCCCCGGGCUCAACCUGGGAACUGCAUUUGAGACUGUACGGCUAGAGUGUAGCAGA